UCGGGAAUCUUGCACAAUGGGCGAAAGCCUGAUGCAGCAACGCCGUGUGAGCGAGGAAGGCCUUAGGGUCGUAAAGCUCUGUUGUUGGGGACGAAGGGCGAAGGGUUAAUAGCCCCUAGCCUGACGGUACCCUUCGAGGAAGCCCCGGCUAACUACGUGCCAGCAGCCGCGGUAAUACGGAGGAUGCAAGCGUUAUCCGGAAUGAUUGGGCGUAAAGCGUCCGCAGGUGGUGAUGCAAGUCUGCUGUUAAAGAGUGUAGCUUAACUACAUAAAGGCGGUGGAAACUGCACCACUAGAGUACGUUCGGGGCAGAGGGAAUUCCUGGUGUAGCGGUGAAAUGCGUAGAUAUCAGGAAGAACACCGGUGGCGAAAGCGCUCUGCUAGGCCGUAACUGACACUGAGGGACGAAAGCUAGGGGAGCGAAUGGGAUUAGAUACCCCCGUAGUCC
RNAcentral lists this ribosomal RNA (448 nucleotides) under uncultured prokaryote. RNAcentral's name for it is "bacterial SSU rRNA". It matches the Rfam family "Bacterial small subunit ribosomal RNA", at positions 355 to 796 of the family's 1533-position model. The record is from RNAcentral.